This 468-nucleotide ribosomal RNA is filed under the name uncultured bacterium. RNAcentral describes it as "partial 16S ribosomal RNA". It matches the Rfam family "Bacterial small subunit ribosomal RNA", at positions 28 to 507 of the family's 1533-position model. The record is from RNAcentral.
GACGAACGCUGGCGGCGUGCUUAACACAUGCAAGUCGAACGGAAAGGCCCUGCUUUUGUGGGGUGCUCGAGUGGCGAACGGGUGAGUAACACGUGACUAACCUGCCCUUGACUUUGGGAUAACUUCAGGAAACUGGGGCUAAUACCGGAUAGGAGCUCCUGCUGCAUGGUGGGGGUUGGAAAGUUUCGGCGGUCGGGGAUGGACUCGCGGCUUAUCAGCUUGUUGGUGGGGUAGUGGCUUACCAAGGCUUUGACGGGUAGCCGGCCUGAGAGGGUGACCGGCCACAUUGGGACUGAGAUACGGCCCAGACUCCUACGGGAGGCAGCAGUGGGGAAUAUUGCACAAUGGGCGGAAGCCUGAUGCAGCAACGCCGCGUGCGGGAUGACGGCCUUCGGGUUGUAAACCGCUUUCGCCUGUGACGAAGCGUGAGUGACGGUAAUGGGUAAAGAAGCACCGGCUAACUACGUG